GGGGGGGGGGGGGGGGGGGGGGGGGGGGGGCGGGGGGGGGGGGGGUUACGGGGGGGGGUGGUGGGAUGGGAGGGGGUGGUGCUUGGUGGGGGACGGGGGAGUGACGGGUGGUGACGCUGCCCUCUACAGGGGGAUAGCAGCUGUACACGGCUGGUAAGACCGCAUCAGUCGGCGAGACCGGAUGGGUUUGCCGGGCAUUAGCAAUCAGGUAUAGGAUGGGCCCGCGUACGAUGAGCCAGUUGGCAGGGUAAAAGCCUACCAAAGCAACGAUCGGUAGCCGGACUGAGAGGUCGGACGGCCACAUUGGGACUGAGACACGGCCCAAACUCCUACGGGAGGCAGCAGUGGGGGAUAUUGCACAAUGGAGGAAACUCUGAUGCAGCGACGCCGCGUGAGUGAAGAAGUAUUUCGGUAUGUAAAGCGCUAUCAGCAGGGAAGAUGAUGACGGUACCUGACUAAGAAGCCCCGGCUAACUACGUG
Molecule: ribosomal RNA, 480 nt
Filed under: uncultured bacterium
Lineage: Bacteria
Description: partial 16S ribosomal RNA
Rfam family: Bacterial small subunit ribosomal RNA (bases 58-480)
Source: RNAcentral